Molecule: ribosomal RNA, 444 nt
Filed under: uncultured bacterium
Lineage: Bacteria
Description: bacterial SSU rRNA
Rfam family: Bacterial small subunit ribosomal RNA
Source: RNAcentral
UAAGGAAUAUUGGUCAAUGGGCGCAAGCCUGAACCAGCCAUGCCGCGUGCAGGAUGAAGGUCCUACGGAUUGUAAACUGCUUUUGUACGGGAAAAAACCCCCGGUUUCUACCGGGGUUGAUGGUACCGUAAGAAUAAGGAUCGGCUAACUCCGUGCCAGCAGCCGCGGUAAUACGGAGGAUCCAAGCGUUAUCCGGAUUCACUGGGUUUAAAGGGUGCGUAGGCGGAAUGACAAGUCAGUGGUGAAAACCUAUAGCUUAACUAUAGAACUGCCAUUGAUACUGUUAUUCUUGAGUGUAUUGGAUGUGAAUGGAAUGUGUCAUGUAGCGGUGAAAUGCUUAGAUAUGACACAGAACACCCAUUGCGAAGGCAGUUCACAACACUACAACUGACGCUGAGGCACGAAAGCGUGGGGAUCAAACAGGAUUAGAUACCCCCGUAGUCC